AUGUUAUAGCCUUAUUUCUUUCUUAUAGCUUUGAUUACCAUUUCUAUACCCGGGUUGGGGCCCUUUGAUGUAUAUGCAUGCUUUGCUAGGAAAGUCUCAUGAGCUUUAGACUUAUAGAUCUAUCUUCUCAUUUUGUUACCAUCCUCUUAUCACCCUAUUUGUUCUAUUUUAUUAUCACAACAUAUUCAUUCUCUUUCUUGUCUAUCAUUAUUC
This 213-nucleotide long non-coding RNA is filed under the name Vitis vinifera (wine grape). RNAcentral describes it as "long non-coding RNA (VVIN_LNC006269)". Lineage: Eukaryota; Viridiplantae; Streptophyta; Magnoliopsida; Vitales; Vitaceae. The record is from RNAcentral.